AGUGGGAUAACUGGGUCAAAUGGUGGUUCCAUUCCAAGAUUUCUGAGGAAUAUCCAUACUUUUUUCCAGAGUGGUUGAACCAAUUUGCAAUCCCAUGAGCAGU
RNAcentral lists this microRNA precursor (103 nucleotides) under Marmota monax (woodchuck). The record is from RNAcentral. Lineage: Eukaryota; Metazoa; Chordata; Mammalia; Rodentia; Sciuridae.